GGGCGUGUGGCUCAGUUGGUAGAGCGUUCGCUUCGCAUCUUCAGUACGAAUUCUCGGUACGCGUGCAUGCGAAAAGUCCUGGGUUCGAUUCCCAGCUCGUCCA
Molecule: non-coding RNA, 103 nt
Organism: Corynascus novoguineensis
Lineage: Eukaryota; Fungi; Ascomycota; Sordariomycetes; Sordariales; Chaetomiaceae
Source: the annotation of a GenBank genome assembly